Molecule: ribosomal RNA, 680 nt
Filed under: uncultured Nitrososphaerota archaeon
Lineage: Archaea; Thermoproteati; Nitrososphaerota
Description: bacterial SSU rRNA
Rfam family: Archaeal small subunit ribosomal RNA
Source: RNAcentral
UGGCAUACGGCUCAGUAACACGUAGUCAACAUGCCCAGGGGACGUGGAUAACCUCGGGAAACUGAGGAUAAACCGCGAUAGGUCAUCACUUCUGGAAUGGGUAAUGACUUAAAUCUACAUGGCCCCUGGAUUGGACUGCGGCCGAUCAGGCUGUUGGUGAGGUAAUGGCCCACCAAACCUGUAACCGGUACGGGCUCUGAGAGGAGGAGCCCGGAGAUGGGCACUGAGACAAGGGCCCAGGCCCUAUGGGGCGCAGCAGGCGCGAAACCUCUGCAAUAGGCGAAAGCUUGACAGGGUUACUCUGAGUGAUUUCCGUUAAGGAGAUCUUUUGGCACCUCUAAAAAUGGUGCAGAAUAAGGGGUGGGCAAGUCUGGUGUCAGCCGCCGCGGUAAUACCAGCACCCCGAGUGGUCGGGACGUUUAUUGGGCCUAAAGCAUCCGUAGCCGGUUCUACAAGUCUUCCGUUAAAUCCACCUGCUCAACAGAUGGGCUGCGGAAGAUACUAUGGAGCUAGGAGGCGGGAGAGGCAAGCGGUACUCGAUGGGUAGGGGUAAAAUCCGUUGAUCCAUUGAAGACCACCAGUGGCGAAGGCGGCUUGCCAGAACGCGCUCGACGGUGAGGGAUGAAAGCUGGGGGAGCAAACCGGAUUAGAUACCCGGGUAGUCCCAGCUGUAAACGAUG